This 530-nucleotide ribosomal RNA is filed under the name uncultured bacterium. Its description in RNAcentral is "bacterial SSU rRNA". It matches the Rfam family "Bacterial small subunit ribosomal RNA", at positions 8 to 521 of the family's 1533-position model. The record is from RNAcentral.
AGAGUUUGAUCCUGGCUCAGGAUGAACGCUGGCGGCAUGCCUAAUACAUGCAAGUCGAACGAGAGGAAGGAAAGCUUGCUUUCCUAAAUCUAGUGGCGAACGGGUGAGUAACACGUAGGUAACCUGCCCAUGUGCCCGGGAUAACUUCUGGAAACGGAUGCUAAAACCGGAUAGGUAGCAGACAAGCAUUUGACUGCUAUUAAAGUGGCUAAGGCCAUGAACAUGGAUGGACCUGCGGUGCAUUAGCUAGUUGGUGAGGUAACGGCCCACCAAGGCGACGAUGCAUAGCCGGCCUGAGAGGGCGGACGGCCACAUUGGGACUGAGACACGGCCCAAACUCCUACGGGAGGCAGCAGUAGGGAAUUUUCGUCAAUGGGGGGAACCCUGAACGAGCAAUGCCGCGUGAGUGAGGAAGGUCUUCGGAUCGUAAAGCUCUGUUGUAAGAGAAAAACGGCACUCAUAGGGAAUGAUGAGUGAGUGAUGGUAUCUUACCAGAAAGUCACGGCUAACUACGUGCCAGCAGCCGCGGU